AACCCCGCCCAUAGGUCAGAUCCCUAUAUUUUUACCUAAAAUAUAAAUGAAAAUAUAACUUUUCGAAUGAAUAAAUAGAAAAUGGAAUAAAAGCUGCUAUUGGAAAUUUGAAUUACUAUUUAAAUAAACAGCGGAGAAAUAUUCCACCAGAUAACUGUCAGGUACUACAUUUUUCGGGUCUGGUAGUAACUUGCUUAAUGGUGGUGCUAGGUGAUGGUCAAGUUGGAAUAAGACAUCAUUCAUCAUGUCAAUAUGAAUGAAGUUGUAAUGAUAGCAGUAGAUGAAGUUGGUCCAGCAAGUUCAACUAGAGAUGAGCAAGUUCAACUAGGGAUUGUCUUUCUUUGAAAUAACGCUCAUAAAUCAUCAGUGAUGAUAGUACUUUGAUACCAUUGGAUGAAAAUAAAGUAGAAGAAAAAAGCUCAAGUCUAUAAUGGUUGAAGAAGAAAAUUCACAGCAAACUAUUGAGGACGAUUCAAGUAUAUAACAGAUACAAGAAUAAUUUCAGAUGGUAUUCCUUCUCCAUUAAAAAUGCUCUUUGAUGGCUAGAAGAUAAUCAAAAAAUAAGACUGAAUCAAAUACUAGAAAAAAAGCUGUCAAAGAAAAAGUACCAUCAAUUGUUACGUCAGAUAAAUAGGUAUUAGGUAGCUUAUCAACGUACGAAAAUCAAAUAGAAAGUCGGGCUAUCAUGAAACAAAGCUGUCAAUAUCGAGCUCAUAAAUUUAUUACUUAUAGCCGCUAGAUUUUUUACUUAGCUGUAAUUAUAGCGAAACAAUCAAUAUCUACAUUAUUUUACCAGCAAAAUUUUUUCCUUAGCUGUAAUUGUAGCCAAAUAAUCAAUAUCUACAUUACUUUACUUAGCUAGAUUUUUGACUCAGAUGUAAUUGUAUCCAAAUAAUCAAUAUGUGCAUUAUUUUACCAGAAAAAUUUUUUACUUAGCCAUAAUUAUAGCCAUAAAAUCAAUAUCUGCAUUAUUUUACUAGCGAAAUUUUUUGACUUGGCCGCUAGAUUUUUUACUUAGCUUUAAUCUGACGAGAUAUAUAUAAAGGGAGGGGGUAUUCAAAACAAAAGUAGGGGAAUAUUAGAAAGAGAGCGUUCGGAGUGAACUCUGAUUUUUUUUUAGCCUUAAUCCGGCUAUGGAGCGAACUUGGUACCAGCCGAAAUAAUAGAACAAGAAAAAAUUAGUGAUGCGAUAGAAGAGAGAUUUCGAGACGAGACGAGACAGGGGUGACGAGAGACGAUAAAAUUUGAGACGAGACUGAUGUCGAUAUGCGAGAAAAAAGUCGAGAGUUAAAUAAUUUAGUUCGUGUUUUUAUUUUUUUAAAUUUUUAUAUAUUUUCAAUUUACUUAUUAUACAUUUCUAACCCGUUGUAAAUUACAUGUUUUUAUACUUUAUACACUUUCAUAAUUUUGUUCAAUCUACCCUGGUAGAAAUAAUCUCUCCGGAUUUCUCAGGAUUUUCUCGGAAUUUUUCCGGAUUUUCUACGCAAUUGAGACUUCCGGAGAUAUUAUUCCGGAGUUUUUUCGGAUUUCCUCCAGGUUUUAUUGGAUUUUCUCCAGAUUUUUUUGGAAAAAAUUCCUUUUUUAUUUUUCGUAUGUAAACUCUUAUUUCUAGUUUUUUUAUUGAUAUUUCCAUUUUUUUUUUGUUUGUUUUUUUAAACGAAAAUUCCGGAAAAAAUCCGGAGAUAUAAUGAAAAUAGUCUAGAGAUUACUCCGUAAAUAUUUCCGGAAGUCUCAAUUACGCACUGAGAAAAAUAUCCUGCGAUUUUUACACAGAUUAUUGUAAAAUUUGGAAAAUCUGCGAAAUACACCAUAAUUUUGUGUAAUUUUUCCAUAAAUAAAAAAUGAUUCUACGUUAUCUGAUGAAUCCCAUAAAAUUUUCAUUGACUAUAUUGUAAGAUUUAUUAUUUUUAAAUGAAAACUUAUUUCAUAUAAAAAAAUGUAAAGUUUGCAUUGAAAGAAAAAUAAAUAUUGUAAUAUUUUAUUGUUAAUUUUACAUUUUUUUAAGAGAAAUACCGAUUAUUCCGAGAAAAUGAAACACCAGAAUAAUUAAAUAGAAUUCAUCUUAUUUAUUGUAAAAUUUACCGAAAAAACAUGAAAAGAAAACAUUUAUUCAGUGAACUUUUUGAUUUACGUCGUUGGAACGUAUAAUUUACACUUUUUCCGUAGAAAUGUUGUGACGUACACAUUGCUCCCAUUCUUGCUUUUUUGUCGAAAUGUUUCUUUGCCAAAUAAAUUAAUACGUAGUUUGAAUUACUUUUACAGCCAUAUGACACAA
Aphidius gifuensis is the source of this 2275-nucleotide long non-coding RNA. RefSeq lists it as uncharacterized. The record is from RefSeq and is a predicted model, not a curated record. The transcript has 3 exons. Lineage: Eukaryota; Metazoa; Arthropoda; Insecta; Hymenoptera; Braconidae.